RNAcentral lists this transfer RNA (73 nucleotides) under Acidobacteriota bacterium. Its description in RNAcentral is "Acidobacteria bacterium tRNA-Val". It matches the Rfam family "tRNA". From Rfam's summary of the family: Transfer RNA (tRNA) molecules are approximately 80 nucleotides in length. Their secondary structure includes four short double-helical elements and three loops (D, anti-codon, and T loops). Lineage: Bacteria; Pseudomonadati; Acidobacteriota. RNAcentral also lists the same sequence under 3 other names. The record is from RNAcentral.
AGGCGCGUAGCUCAGUUGGUAGAGCGCUGCCUCGACACGGCAGAGGUCUGGGGUUCAAGUCCCCACGCGCCUA